RNAcentral lists this ribosomal RNA (1251 nucleotides) under Triticum aestivum (bread wheat). RNAcentral describes it as "partial small subunit ribosomal RNA". Lineage: Eukaryota; Viridiplantae; Streptophyta; Magnoliopsida; Poales; Poaceae. The record is from RNAcentral.
AUGACCGUUCGUGACAAUGAUCUUGACCAGUAUGGAGUCGUUAACAACGCCAUUUAUGUUGCUUACAUCCACAAUGCUCGAGAGGAGCUAGCUGCGAGCAUUGGCUUCAGCAUGGCCUCCGUAGCACACACCGGCAACGCGAUGGCACUCUUGGAACUGAACCUCAAGUACUUCAAGCCUCUACUGGUAUGUGCAUGGCACAUCCGGAAUCUCUUCUUUUUGCGAGUGUCACAUCCGAAACCUCUAAGGCUCUCCUCACAGUAUUUGAAGAGGAAAACUCUGUCUCAAUGUGAGUCAUCUCCUGCCAACUCUCAUUUCUGGAAUGGUAUCAUGAGUGUUAAAGAUAUCUUUUACAACUGUUGUCAGAGAAUUGUUGGGGAUGGGCAUAAAACUAGAUUUUGGGAAGAUGCUUGGAUCCACAACAAGCCUCUCUGUCAACUUUUUCCUCGCUUGUACAAGCUUACUUUUCAUCAAAACAUUACGGUUGCUAAAGCAUUUGAACAGGAUUUUAACUGCGUUGGAUUUAGGAGAUGUUUAUAUGGGGAGACACUGGAUAUGUGGAAUAAGCUUCUGGAUAUGUGCAGUCAGGUUGUUCUGAGUGAGGAACCUGACAAAGUCAAAUGGCUUUUGACUAGCUCUGGCCAGUUCUCCGUUAAAUCUCUUUAUCAAUAUAUUAUUGCUAAGAGAGUAGUGUUCCCUUUUAAGUUUCUUUGGAACCUGAAGGUACCUUUGAAAAUUAAAGCUUUUAUAUGGUUAGUUAUCAAAAGAAGGAUCCUGACCAAGGACAACUUGUGUAAAAAAGGCUGGAAAGGCACCAACAAAUGUGAAUUUUGUGAUGCCAAUGAAUGUAUUGAUCAUCUGUUUUUCACUUGUUCUCUUGCUCGGUUUCUUUGGAAUGUAGUUGGGAGUGCUUUGGGAAAUCCCCAAACACCCCUGUCAUUCUUUGACCUUUGCCAGAAUUGGCUUCCUAAGUUCACUGGGAAAGAUAGAAUGGUUAUAGCUAUUGGUACGACUGCUUUGUUAUGGUCGAUCUGGAAAGCAAGAAAUAAAUCCUGCUUUCAAAGUUCUUUACCUAGGGAUCCUACUGAUAUUAUCUUCUCUUUAUGUUAUGUGUUGGAUUCGUGGGGUGUGCUACAGAAAAAAGGGGUGCAAAAAACUCUUAAGGAAGUGACCAAGAGGUUGGCCCAGAUAGCGAGGGACGUCUUCAAGCGUGCUUACGGGUGGGGCCCUGCUGUACGGAGGCUCUGUUGA